AUUGGCAAAAUCAACACACAUUUUUAUUUUGUUUUCAUUUGUUUCACUUCUCAACGUACAUUCUUUUAUUUUCUUCUUUUUUAUAACAUCUUUCUAUAAACAUCCUAUAAACCAACAGAAACAAAAGGUAGAGAAAAAUUAUAUCCUUAAUUAUACUUUGCUUAAAAAUUGUUACAAAAACAAUGUUAAACCCAGCUAAAAUUAGUGCGAAACAGUACAAGAUGCUCGAUUUUGUCUAAUGAACAUAAAUCUCCACUGAUUUAGGCUAUAAAUUGUGAUCAAAAAUCAAAAAGAGGGAGGGGAUUUUUGAGAGAUUAGAAAAGCAAUCACAAAAAAACAUUGAGAAUUUUUUAUUUCUUACUUUUUUUGUUUUCUAAAAAAAACAAGGAGGGAGUGUUACCACUAAGAAUAACAAAUAGAAAGAAGAUUUAGCAAUCAGAUUGCUUCCCAUCAACCAUAGCCUUCAAGCCAAUUCCAACAAAAACCGACGAAGAGGGUAUUUUCUCUUUCUUUUCCGUCUCUUUUGUUCAAAGCGGUAUAAUAUUCAAUGUUGAAAUUUUGUUUUGUUAGAUAUGAAUGAAUUUGGUUUUGUGCGUAAAUGUAUGGAGUUUUGUUGCUACUGUUGAAACUUUGUUUGUUUUGUUGAGCCCCUUUUGAAAUUUGCUUGCUUG
Molecule: long non-coding RNA, 671 nt
Filed under: Cicer arietinum (chickpea)
Lineage: Eukaryota; Viridiplantae; Streptophyta; Magnoliopsida; Fabales; Fabaceae
Description: long non-coding RNA (CARI_LNC003722)
Source: RNAcentral